UGCUAACAUUUGCAUCUGGCUACUAUGUGCUGGACUGGCUCUUUGCACAGUCUGUACCUUGGGUCCACCCCCACUUUUAUUGAUCUGGUGCUGAGUGCCUGUUCCUGUGCCCAUAGGUUUAGUGCCUCAGUGCAGUUUUUCAGUCUUGCAUUAUCCAACUAUUGGCAUGAUUGAGCCCAAUGCCACACAUAUGGAUACAGGAAUGCUUAGUAUAUAGUGGUAUCUGCCGGUCGCACAACCCAUGGAGAGGCUGG
Non-coding RNA from Pelobates cultripes (western spadefoot toad), 254 nucleotides. The record is from the annotation of a GenBank genome assembly. Lineage: Eukaryota; Metazoa; Chordata; Amphibia; Anura; Pelobatidae.